GGGCGGCCAGGACCGGAGGCCCCGUCUCCAGAGUGGAGGAGGCCAUGAGAACCGUCAAGAAGUUCAUGGACUCAGGAGGACGUCGUGAGCAGUGCUGAGGUCAUGGAAUGUGGGCUGGGACCUUGUGUUUGGUGACAUCCUGAGGACUUGGACGCAGGGUCUUCUCUGCUCCCCGUCACACAGAGGGUGGCACACCCGAUGGGAACUCUCAUUUAUCACCAAACCAAAAGAUGGAGAAACUGACAGAGAAGGGCUGCAAGCAGCUACGGCAGGGCGGUGUGUGGAAGCAGAUGGGAUGGGCAGAUGGAGGCGGGGGCCAGCAUCGCUGCCUUCUUGCCCCUCCCAGAGGACCCCAGGUCCCCAGCUCGGGCGCCCCACCCAGACUGGUAACGCCUGCGUCUGCUGUUUGGCACCGGGAGAUGAAUCACUUGCUUUUCAAAUUAGAAUCUUCCUUGCUGUCAGAAAUGUUUCUUCUCUACAAGGAAAUGGAGGUGAAAUUUUUAUAUGGGAAGGGUAGCUCCCUUGGCGAAUUGCAGGGCAGCGGAGGGCGGGUUCGGGGAGCCGAGUGCAGCCCGAGGUGCAGCUUUCAGGCUGGGAGGAAGCAGCUGCUUCCGGCUCCUCGGGACACGAGACGGGGACAGCGUGUGCUCGGCGGGUGGGAGUGACGCUGCCCACCUGCGGGCGUCUCCUGGGGAACGGGGUAUGUGGGCUGUGUGGCGGUACGGAGCCCAGCGCUGAUAGGAGGCUGCGCUGUCAGGCUGCAUUUGACCAUUUAUGGAACCAGGCCAUGAGGAGGCCCUGAAUUAGAAAGGCAUCCAGACCCAGGCUGCAG
This 832-nucleotide long non-coding RNA is filed under the name Homo sapiens (human). RNAcentral describes it as "non-protein coding LINC00313:26". Lineage: Eukaryota; Metazoa; Chordata; Mammalia; Primates; Hominidae. The record is from RNAcentral.